This 254-nucleotide unclassified non-coding RNA is filed under the name uncultured Gemmatimonadota bacterium. RNAcentral describes it as "uncultured Gemmatimonadetes bacterium contains 16S-23S intergenic spacer region". It matches the Rfam family "Bacterial small subunit ribosomal RNA", at positions 524 to 776 of the family's 1533-position model. The record is from RNAcentral. Lineage: Bacteria; Pseudomonadati; Gemmatimonadota.
GACGGAGGGCGCGAGCGUUGUUCGGAAUUACUGGGCGUAAAGCGCGGGCAGGCGGUCCGCUAAGUCUUCUGUGAAAACCCGGGGCUCAACCCCGUGGAAUGCAGGAGAUACUGGCGGACUGGAGACCGGUAGAGGCUAGCGGAAUUCCUGGUGUAGCGGUGGAAUGCGUAGAUAUCAGGAAGAACACCUGUGGCGAAGGCGGCUAGCUGGGCCGGGUCUGACGCUCAUCCGCGAAAGCGUGGGGAGCAAACAGG